GCAGCGACCUGUCGAGAGCGAGGGGGGAUGUUGUGGCGCCGCGUCGGGAGGAAGUUUUGACAUGUUGUUGUUGUGAGGGCUCCAUGGUGAGCGCAAUCAGCUCACGGAAACUUUGAGCGUGGGUGAGAAGUUUGGCUGGAAUUCCAGCGCAGGUGUUUCAAUUAUGCAUCCCUGCCUUUCUGAUGGAGUCUGGCAGAUCCAGCUCGAGUCUCUUUUAAGGAAAGGAGCUGCUGUUACCCAAAGAUGCUAUUAAAAAGUGAAGCGCUUUCAUGGAGGAAAAUAGAGAUGUCAGCAUCACGCGCCAUUAACCGGGCUAGUCGAGGUGUGAGUGUCUGACUGCAUCCAUUUGGUGUUGGAGGAAGAUGGUAAGCCUGAAGAUAUCUUCUGUCAGCUCUUGCUUAGGAGCAGAGAGAGAUUUCCCACAGCGACUGGUCGCAUGAAAUAUUAAUAAAGAGGAAGUGGACUGGAUCGCAGACACUAAAGUGAGGGCUGAAAAACUAGAUCUCGCUGAGAUGCCUGUCUGUUCUGAAAAUCAGAUGGGAGAUCUGGUCACCAUGGCCUCCAAAGCAUCAGAUCAAACUGGGUUUCUUUAAAAAUAAAUUUCAAAUUUAUAUUGAUUUCAAAUAAAUGAAUGAGAUCAGCUUUACUGUCCCCGAAGGCAAACCAUCUUGUAUUCAUGGUGCGCACCCACACACAAUUACUUUUUGUUCAGUCAUUAUUUGUCAGUAAGGGAACAAUAAUACCACAUAAAUCAUCUCACAGUAGACCUAUAAUAAAAAUAUAACUAUAAAAUAACAUGUUCCUUAUGAAAAAAUAACACUUUUUUUUGCUCAAGGUCUAGUGAGUUGCUUACAUAGAUAUCAAUACUUACUAUUAUAGUUGCGUUCCAGA
Carassius carassius (crucian carp) is the source of this 891-nucleotide long non-coding RNA. RefSeq lists it as uncharacterized. Lineage: Eukaryota; Metazoa; Chordata; Actinopteri; Cypriniformes; Cyprinidae. The transcript has 3 exons. The record is from RefSeq and is a predicted model, not a curated record.